Molecule: ribosomal RNA, 632 nt
Filed under: Flavobacterium sp. B1252_2
Lineage: Bacteria; Pseudomonadati; Bacteroidota; Flavobacteriia; Flavobacteriales; Flavobacteriaceae
Description: bacterial SSU rRNA
Rfam family: Bacterial small subunit ribosomal RNA
Source: RNAcentral
UUAGAGACCGGCGCACGGGUGCGUAACGCGUAUGCAAUCUACCUUUCACAGAGGGAUAGCCCAGAGAAAUUUGGAUUAAUACCUCAUAGUAUAGCAGUUUCGCAUGAAACCACUAUUAAAGUCACAACGGUGAAAGAUGAGCAUGCGUCCCAUUAGCUAGUUGGUAAGGUAACGGCUUACCAAGGCAACGAUGGGUAGGGGUCCUGAGAGGGAGAUCCCCCACACUGGUACUGAGACACGGACCAGACUCCUACGGGAGGCAGCAGUGAGGAAUAUUGGACAAUGGGCGCAAGCCUGAUCCAGCCAUGCCGCGUGCAGGAUGACGGUCCUAUGGAUUGUAAACUGCUUUUAUACGAGAAGAAACCCUCCGACGUGUCGGAGCUUGACGGUAUCGUAAGAAUAAGGAUCGGCUAACUCCGUGCCAGCAGCCGCGGUAAUACGGAGGAUCCAAGCGUUAUCCGGAAUCAUUGGGUUUAAAGGGUCCGUAGGCGGUCAGGUAAGUCAGUGGUGAAAGCCCAUCGCUCAACGGUGGAACGGCCAUUGAUACUGUCUGACUUGAAUUAUUAGGAAGUAACUAGAAUAUGUAGUGUAGCGGUGAAAUGCUUAGAGAUUACAUGGAAUACCAAUUGCGA